ACUGCUCAGUAACACGUGGAUAACCUGCCCUGCGGUGGGAAAUAACCCCGGGAAACUGGGGAUAAUGUCCCAUAGGCUACGGAUGCUGGAAUGCUCUGUAGCUCAAAGAUUUAUCGCCACAGGAUGGGUCUGCGGCCGAUUAGGUAGUUGUUGGGGUAACGGCCCAACAAGCCUUUGAUCGGUACGGGUUGUGGGAGCAAGAGCCCGGAGAUGGAUUCUGAGACACGAAUCCAGGCCCUACGGGGCGCAGCAGGCGCGAAAACUUUACAAUGCGGGAAACCGUGAUAAUGGAACUCCGAGUGUCCGUAAAUGCGGACUGUCCGUAUGUCUAAAAAGCAUGCGAAGAAAGGGCCGGGCAAGACCGGUGCCAGCCGCCGCGGUAAUACCGGCGGCUCGAGUGGUGGCCACUAUUAUUGGGCUUAAAGCGUUCGUAGCUGGAUCGCUAAGUCUCUUGGGAAAUCUACCGGCUUAACCGAUAGGCGUCCAAGGGAUACUGGCGAUCUAGGGACCGGGAGAGGUGAGGGGUACUUCAGGGGUAGGAGUGAAAUCCUGUAAUCCUUGGGGGACCACCUGUGGCGAAGGCGCCUCACCAGAACGGCUCCGACAGUGAGGGACGAAAGCUGGGGGAGCAAACCGGAUUAGAUACCCGGGUAGUCCCAGCCGUAAACGAUGCGCGUUAGGUGUAUCGAUGACCACGAGUCAUCGAGGUGCCGAAGGGAAACCGUGAAACGCGCCGCCUGGGAAGUACGGUCGCAAGGCUGAAACUUAAAGGAAUUGGCGGGGGAGCAC
RNAcentral lists this ribosomal RNA (789 nucleotides) under uncultured archaeon. Its description in RNAcentral is "bacterial SSU rRNA". It matches the Rfam family "Archaeal small subunit ribosomal RNA", at positions 85 to 879 of the family's 1478-position model. The record is from RNAcentral.